RNAcentral lists this long non-coding RNA (4466 nucleotides) under Canis lupus familiaris (dog). RNAcentral describes it as "lncRNA (ENSCAFG00845005219.1)". Lineage: Eukaryota; Metazoa; Chordata; Mammalia; Carnivora; Canidae. The record is from RNAcentral.
UUUUUACCCAAUUUCCUGGCCCUCUUCUAUUUUUUUAAUUUGUACACAUUGACCAUCAUAUCAAAUUAUUUUUUAGGUAGAGCCAGGGAAUAAAUAAAAAAUAACCAUCAAGCUUGGAUUAUCCUUAGUUUAUUUACUUGGUCGUGGCAGGAAGAAGACAGGACGCUCCUAUGGAUGUUGACGGAGUCAGUAAAGAAUGCUCUAAAACAUAAGCCAGUAUCCAGAACUGUACCUAAGUGUAGUCUAGACUCCAUUGUUAACUGGCCUCAAGAUCUUCAGUAUCACUGAACUCUGUAGAGCAUUAUUUUCCUCAACUUUAAUGUAGAGAUUAUAAUGCUGAUAUAAGAUAAAAUGAGAAAAGUCACCAGAAAGACUUCUGGUAAUUUUACACAACACUAUAUGAAUAUUUUGUUAAUAACUGAAUGCCAAAUGCGUUGUGCACAGAGGCAUAUUGUUAACAAAUUUAUACUUACUUAUUUUAAAUAUUUUCAUUAUUAACAACUUUAAAAACAAUUUAAAAUAAUAUAUGAAGGUAGAAACAGAGCAAGUUUCUGAAUUUUCUAAAAAUAUCAAUAUCCAGGAGUUCAUAAGACAAAUGUAAAGCAAUUAAGCUUCACGAUGGACUUAAAAUAGUAAAUAAAAAAAAAAAGAAGGAAUAAGAAAAUGUAAUUUUUCUUGAGUUGACUAUAAUAAAAUCUUUCAUAUUUCCUUCAUUUUAGAAAGCAAGAAUCACAAUUAUGCAAUUAUAUAAAUUGCUCAUAUAUACUAAUUUAAUGAGCCCUAAUUCAUAUUGUAAAUCAAUUAUAUGUUGAUUUACUUAUUCUAUUUGAAAAGACUUUAUUCAUUUCUUAACCUUUGGACAUAUGGAGUAUAGUUUUCUUCAUAAAAAGGACUACUGCUAGAUUGUAUGAUUCUAAUAAGAAAGCAAGCAAGCAGGAAACUAUCACAGAACAUUAUGCCCAACAGAUAGCAUAAAAGUAUCUGUAAGUAAUGAAAUAUGUUUUUAGCAUAUACAUCUAGAUUAUACAAUAAGUACUGUCUCCGAGAAAGAGUAACUAGGGAUAUACCAUGCUCCUAUACUGCUGUCAUUGAUGAAAAUUUAUAUGUAGUUCAUUUUUGGUAUUUGCCUUCAGCGAGAGUUUAAAAGCAAAAUAUGACCAUCAUUUUCACGUCAAACUCUUAUUUCCAUAUCAGCGACACAUAGUGUUCUUUCCCAUGGUCACUUAUUUAAUUAAAAUGGCUCUGAAUAAAAAAAAAAAAAAAAGGCUCUGAAUCAAUGUUCUUCAGUCGUUUACAAAUACCAAAUCCCUAGGGGAUCCCUGGGUGGCUCAGUGGUUUAGUGCCUGCCUUUGAUCCAGGGCGGAUCCUGGAAUCCCGGGAUCAAGUCCCACGUCAGGCUCCUGGCAUGGAGCCUGCUUCUCCCUCUUCCUGUGUCUCUGCCUCUCUCUCUCUCUCUCUCUCUAUCAUAAAUAAAUAAAUACACACUUGAUCUUAGCCAAAAGGCUGAGAAGCGAUUCAUAAAUAAAUAAAUAAGUAAAUAAAUCUUUAAAAAAAACAAACUCUUAAACAAAUACCAAAUCCCCUUUUAUAGUAUUAAGCUUUUGCACCAUUGAGGACAUGCAGAACUAGACUCUGGAAUAUAUUUCAUCCCAUGGCAGUCUUCCUAGGGAUGGCUAUCCCACAUGAGGCAUUACCCACCAGGAAGCAUGUGUGCUCCUCUGGUUGGUAAACAGCCACCUUGCCUUAAAUUCACUGUACAGCCACAUCCCAGCAGACUCUAAGCCAAGAGUGGAUGAUGGUCUAGUGAGACACCCCCCCCCCCAAAAAAAAGACCCAGAGACAGCAAUCAAGAUACAGGUUUAUUGGGGGGAACUACCUACAGGGAGUCCAGGAGCAGCCAACUGGACAAAGCAUCUGCUCCUGGGAUCUAUAUGCAGCAAACUUUUAUAGUGUAGCAACCCAGCCUAGCAACUAUCUGUAGCCCUUCCCUCCUUGCCUUGCCAGGGGUCCAAGGAGAUCAAGGCCUGCCAAGUGGACAUUCUUCAUUACAAGGGAAAUACUCUAGGUUUGCCACUCCCAAGCCCCUGACCUUGAAUGCUAAACACUUUCUUCUACACAGUCUGCUUAAUGGGAACAUAGAGGAAGGACAGGAUCUCUGCACUCCCAAGGUUGUAAUCACAGGGACAUUCAGAGUAUGUUGGUACAAAGCAGCCUUCAGCAUGUACCAUACAGUCACCCUGUAAAUAUACCAUGCAGAGUGUAUACACAAAACUAAUGUAAAACUUUGGCUAAGACAACAGGCAUUUUAUAUUUCUGACUCAAGAAUUCAAUCUACUUUAUGUUAUGGAAAAAUAUUAAAAUGUUAAAGUUGCAGGAGCCUGGUAUUACAAUAGACUAAUCUUCAACAGAAGCAAAGUGAAUUGAGAUGGUAGGAUGUAGUGUCCAUUCUCAAUCUCUGUUAAGCCAAGAGACUGCUGGCCUACCUAGAGGAUUUCAUUUUUUCCCUAAUUAUUCACUUUAGAAGGUGAUUGAGACUAGUGUUUGGGUGUUUAUUUAACUUUCUGUUCAGCCAGCUUCAGUUUAUGUGAAUAAGGUGAAGAUAAGGAAAAGGGAAGAUUGCUUCACCAACCUGGCAUAUAAAGUCGAGGUGAUUUAGAUUGUAUGAUGUUGAUGUGGGAUAGUUUGGAGUCUGGGUAUGCCCCGUCUAGUUGUAGGGAUGAGCUAGGGAUCCCAGGAACGAAAAAUUAUAAAAAUCUCUCUUGGCCCAAUUUUAAUAGGCAUUGCCACGGUUAUGGAAAGAGGAAGAAUCGGGCAGAGACUCUAGAAGAUAAGAUGAUAGGUUUUAUGAAACUCUUUGUGAGGUUUUUGCUGUCUGAGUCAAGCCUUGUCAGGGACCUUGACAGGCUCCCAUGGCACUGCAGAUGCCAGGUUAUCGGUAAAACUAAAAACCUAGGAGGAAUACUAAAAAAGUACCUGUGAGCCACACCAGCAUUCAACCUCUUGUAGGAAACACUGGUUUUUCCAGGGCCAUGGCUACUAGGUUGAUGGAUCCUGGUGUCCUGCUACCUGUGAUACAUCCUAUGGCCAAGCCAUUUGGGGUAUGUGCUUAUAGGUUUAUGUGUAUAUAGGCAAAGUUACUGUUCUCAUUUUAUCUCCUAUAAUACGCUCAGUGAACAUGAAAGUGACUUUUAAAAUGUGAGCCAAGAGUGUUAACUAAGUUUAUCAAGUGUUAGAUAGAGUGUUAAUUAAGUUUCUUUAUAUAAAGAAAGUCUGGAGACUUUCUUUCUGGAUUUGAAGGCCAUGUAACCCUCUAGGAGUAGAAGGUAGCCUCCAACUGACUGCCAGCAAGAAGCCAGGGGUCUCAAUCCUACAGAUAAUUGGGAAUAAAUUCUCUCAACAGCCAAGGUGAACUUGGAAGAGGUUCUUCCCAGUCCAGCUUCCAGAUGAGAAACCACCCUAGCCAACGCCUUCAUUAUAGCCUGGUAAGGCCCUAAGCCGGGUUCCAGCUAAGCUCUGCCUGGACUCUUGACCCAAGAAACCAGUAGAUAAUAAAUAUGUGUUGCUCUCAACUGGUAUGCUUGUGGUAAUUUCUUAUGCAGCAAUAGAAAACUAAUACAUUGUCCUUUCUUGGUUGUUUAUUUCCCUAAAGAUAAGUUGUACAGCUCAUUAUUAAAGAUUUAAUCUAUAAGUUCAUGGGAAACUUGAUAGAGUUUGGAACUGAACUGUCUGAUUAUGCAAUUAUACUGAUCAUAUCUUAAAAAUAAUUAGUAAUCUUUUGAAAUGUCUGAGAGCAAAAGAAACAUGAUUAAGAAAGCAAAAUGCCAUUUUCUACCUGGUGCCCAUCUUGAAACUCAGUUAGUGGUACUUUGACUAGGCAUGGUAUUAUUGAAACUUGAAAUGUCAUAGCCACAUUGGAAGAAAUGCAUCCAUGGGUCCUCAUUAGAACACACAGCUAUAUUAAACCUUGCUUUCUUCAAAAGCCAAGACCUACAUGAAUAGUUUUUAAAGGUUAAUUAAAAGCAGUGAGUAAUAAAAAUUUAUAAGCUUCUGCUUAUCAUUUUUUAAUGGUAUCAUUUUCGACCUUUUGAUUGUGAUCCCAUGGUGUGCCAUCCAGACCCCGGCUGUUUACUAUUCCCAUCAACGUCAAGAAAAACUCAACAGAUUGAAAUGUCCUUCCUUUUUCCAGGAAAGAUUUUUGCAAAAUUUUCUCUGGUGCACACAACUUUCUUGAGCUGUUGGUAGAUUUUCUUUUGUCAAUAGGAUGUUAUCCUCUUAAAGAUUCACAAUCUAUAUUAGCAUUUCAUAAACACCUAAAAGUUCCACAGCUAAGAAAAAUAAUUAGCUUUCUUCUUUAACCAACAUUUACUUCUAUUCAUUUGUCCUCAGAAGCUUUUUCUAUUCUCCAAAAAAAUUUCAAUGUAAAUAAUUCCUUCUGGAGAAAGAUUAUAUGAGAAGAAUGACCAUCA